Acinonyx jubatus (cheetah) is the source of this 814-nucleotide long non-coding RNA. RefSeq lists it as uncharacterized. The transcript has 2 exons. NCBI's taxonomy places the organism in Eukaryota, Metazoa, Chordata, Mammalia, Carnivora, Felidae. The record is from RefSeq and is a predicted model, not a curated record.
AAGAAAAAAGCAGCUGUUAAAACAGUUGUUGUGCACCAGGGGAAGGGCCCUGCCUUCCUUCCACGCUGCCAAACUCCGUAAACAGUUGUCAUUUUCUUUCACUCGGUGUGGCCCUGCCAGCGGCUGAGUCCCCUGGUUUGGGGGGACGGAGGUGUCAGGCCAACUUCAAGUUUUAGUUGCUUUCGACGUAAAGACAGAAGAUUCUGCAUUUCCCAAGAAAAGGAAUUCCUGAAUUCCAAACCCGAGGCAGCAACCUGUUCAGAGGAAGUGUGUGGGUCUCUCACAGACUGUGUUAAUCGAACUGUUAGAGUCUUUGUAAGUCAUCAAUAAGUGCAGAUAAAGACACCCACCCCUGUAAAAGUUACAAACGUCCAAUUUAUAUUUUCAGAAUGUCAGCUACCGUGGGUCUUGUUUCCCUUCCCUCCUGGUGGACGAGACUUUAAGUGCUGUAAUCACAGCAACUGUGGGCAAACCAAGGAGGUUAGAAAGGAGCCGCUCUAGGAAACAGAAGUACAAAGGAGAAGGCACACCCACUCCCGGGCAUAUUAAUCCAGACGGACUCAAAUAAUGAAACAGAGACCAAAAAGGAGCUUUGCCAAUCCUGUGCUAGGCUGCUGGCUUGGUCACAAGGGAGCCUCUGCAGCUUAGGGUACGACGGGGCCAGGUGUUCUAGGGAGCUCAAUGAAAAUGCAUUGUGACAGAACCAGAGUUGAAGUUUGAGAAUGAACACGGCCGGCCAAACUUGAAUCGUUUCGAACAUUCAAACAGCUGAACUGUCACACAUAGCCCGGUGGAAUAAAGUGGCCAACCACCA